Molecule: long non-coding RNA, 624 nt
Organism: Zalophus californianus (California sea lion)
Lineage: Eukaryota; Metazoa; Chordata; Mammalia; Carnivora; Otariidae
Exons: 5
Source: RefSeq, a predicted model, not a curated record
GCCACAGGAAAGUGGACAUGUAGGAAUGCAUAUAUUGGGACCAGAAGACCCACUGGAGGAUCAGGUUCUACAGGAAGGUCCGGGAGACACACCAUCCACACCAAAGCCAUCAAGAAGGUGCUGGGACCGACAUCCCUCAGAAGUUCAGUGGUCUCCUGUCUGAAGUUGACUACGUGCCAGACCCUUGGCAGGUGUGGAGGACAGCGUGGAGGCCCAGGAAAACCCAGUCCCUUCCUCUGUGGUCCUUCCAUGAUUCCAGGGAGACAGGCACCAUACAGCCAUGUCAACACACACCUACUCGAUCACAGUUAGGGAACAAAGUUUAAGAGCAUUAAAUGGAUGUGGAGGAGGGAGAUAAGGUCAAGACCAGAACUGGAAUCUACAUCAUAACCUCGCUGGCUCUUAAGCCUUCAAACAGUACCGCUGGCUUUCCUGGGUCUUGGGCUUGCUGAUGGAAGAUCAUGGACUUCCUGUCUCCAUAAUGACGAGAUCCUGGGUGGCAGUGGAGGCCUGACCCUUACCUCAUCGGAGAAAUCCGGAUUCUGGGAAUGGUGCAGAACUGCUGUGUGGGCCGCUGAGGUGAAGAGAGGCCCUCCAGGUUUUCCGUAAAUACACUGUUUAAAA